GGCGAACGCUGGCGGCGUGCUUAACACAUGCAAGUCGAACGGAAAGGCCCUGCUUUUGUGGGGUGCUCGAGUGGCGAACGGGUGAGUAACACGUGAGUAACCUGCCCUUGACUUUGGGAUAACUUCAGGAAACUGGGGCUAAUACCGGAUAGGAGCUCCUGCUGCAUGGUGGGGGUUGGAAAGUUUCGGCGGUUGGGGAUGGACUCGCGGCUUAUCAGCUUGUUGGUGGGGUAGUGGCUUACCAAGGCUUUGACGGGUAGCCGGCCUGAGAGGGUGACCGGCCACAUUGGGACUGAGAUACGGCCCAGACUCCUACGGGAGGCAGCAGUGGGGAAUAUUGCACAAUGGGCGGAAGCCUGACGCAGCAACGCCGCGUGCGGGAUGACGGCCUUCGGGUUGUAAACCGCUUUCGCCUGUGACGAAGCGUGAGUGACGGUAAUGGGUAAAGAAGCACCGGCUAACUACGUG
RNAcentral lists this ribosomal RNA (468 nucleotides) under uncultured bacterium. RNAcentral describes it as "partial 16S ribosomal RNA". It matches the Rfam family "Bacterial small subunit ribosomal RNA", at positions 28 to 507 of the family's 1533-position model. The record is from RNAcentral.